AGUAACAAGAUGAUUUUCGGCAAGAGGCGUGCACCUUUAUAAAGGAUUACGGUGGGAUUGAUGAAGACCAUUUCAAUUGAGUAAUUGCAUCGUGGUGGAGUGAUUUCGAGAUGGGCGAUACGGGUCAGUCGGAUUUUCAGAAACGCAAUAAGAAAAAGAUAGCUCUUGAUCGAUUGAAUAAUGCAUGUGAUGUGAAGGAAACUUGGUUUGCGUUUGUCAAGGAUUCGUCGUUUCUUGCUCUGAAGUAUGUCUUGAACAAAAAACUACAUUGGCUAGAGAGAUUGUUCUGGUUGGUUAUUAUCUUAGUCGGUGCAUCGUUGUGUGGCUUUGGGAUACUUCUUAGUGCUAAGAAAUUUAGCGGCCACAUGGUACAGAUUGUUCCAGAUGAUGAACCAUCACCAAUUUGGAGUGUUCCGUUUCCAGCAGUGACUAUUUGCGGGAUGGAAAUCGAAGGAGAGAAAUCGGAGCCCUUGAAAAGUUUUUGCGAGAAGGCUUGUUGGGGCGAACAAUGCGCUUGCUGUAAAGCGUUGUUCACGAAAACACGUACAGAACUCGGAAGUUGUUACACUUUCAACAAUCUGGCUGCCAAAGAUCUGUUCAAUACAAAAGGGAUGACAAAAGAUGCACAAUUAUCUAAUGCAUCAAUUUCCAGCGAGAACUGGGAUGUGCAAGCUGGAUACAAAAGUUUUGAUUCGUCAAGUAAAUACUACCCAAGACGAGUAAUGGAUUUAUCACAUGACUAUGAACUAAUGGUUAGAUUCAGAAUCGUUGAAAAUAGUUCAGUCCACAGCCAUGGAAAUCAAUCGUCAAUCAAAGUGGAUCUUCACAAUCCAGCAGAUUACCCGUUCAAAACCGAGAAUGCUAUUCUGGCAGAACCUGGACAAUCUUUCAAGAUAGCAGUUCACCCAAAAGUCAGGACUGGUCGACGAUAUUUGAAAUUUAGCUGUCCGCAAUCGUAUGACCUCAUUUUCGUGUACUUUUUGUAAUGAAUUGUUGUUAAGAUAGCAGUUCACCCAAAAGUCAGGACUGGUCGACGAUAUUUGAAAUUUAGCUGUCCGCAAUCCAUAAACUGCUGUUAUGGAGAUCAAUGUCAGCUACAAUUCUUCCGGAUCUACUCUCAGCAGAAUUGCGAGUUGGAAUGCCGCACCAAGUAUAUGAUGGAGACACGAAAUUGCGUUCUGUCAUAUAUGCCACGUAAUGCUGGAGUUUCCCUAUGCAAUGAAAGUACUUCCAUUUCACAGGAUCAACUGCAGAAAGAAAUAACCCUCGCAGCGAGAAUCAACAAUAUUCCACCGUCCAAGUAUUUUGUAAAAACCUGCAACUGCCUGCCCAGCUGUAAUGAAAUCCGGUACAAAAGUGUCGUAACAAAAAGCCGUUCGAAUGGAACCAAUAAUUCCGAGGUGAUUAUUCAUUUCGAUAAAGAUCAUUUCUUUGGAUCCAAAAUAACGAUUCGAUAUGGAAUCAUAGACUUCUUCUCCACUAUUGGAGGAUUAUUAUCAUUGUUUCUCGGAAUCUCUUUCAUAACAAUAAUUGAAAUACUGUAUUAUUGCACUCUGAGACCAUUUUUCAUAUCAUAAAUGUUAAAAUAACCACAACAACUACGGAUUGUCUUUAAAACUGUCAUUACCAUUCUAUUCCGCAAAAAAGACAGCUGAAUAAA
This is a long non-coding RNA of Aedes aegypti (yellow fever mosquito), 1660 nucleotides long. RefSeq lists it as uncharacterized. The transcript has 3 exons. The record is from RefSeq and is a predicted model, not a curated record. Lineage: Eukaryota; Metazoa; Arthropoda; Insecta; Diptera; Culicidae.